Long non-coding RNA from Mauremys reevesii (Reeves's turtle), 701 nucleotides. RefSeq lists it as uncharacterized. The transcript has 3 exons. Lineage: Eukaryota; Metazoa; Chordata; Testudines; Geoemydidae. The record is from RefSeq and is a predicted model, not a curated record.
CUUGGCAGAGUUUCUGCCUUGUGUGGUAGAUACUAAGGAUGGGCAAUGUUACCCAUGUAUCUACUAGCCACAGUAUAGUAUAAGAAGUUUCCACACAAGCAGCUUUAACAUCAGCAUAGCAAGGAAGAAGAACUUUUUGCGAAGUUCUAUACCUUGUGUUAUACAGAUACAUGAUGAUCACAGUCAUCCCUUCUGGCCUUGGAAUCUAUGAAAUAGCUCCAGAGCACCCAUGGAAUUGGCGUCUAUGAUGACAAUAAUCUCAACUCAGCAUCUCUGAGCCAAGAAGGACCUUCCUCACUGCAGCUCUGAAACCCUGGAUAGCUUCAAACACCUGUUUAUUUUUUAUCACCUUCCCUGAUCCUAAAUAUGGAAUAUUCCGCAGAGAGCUGUGGCUGAAGCUGAGAAAUACUCAGAUCUGGGUUGUUGAUAGUGGAUUCUAAAAUUCAAUAGUUAAAAUUCUCAUCUCUGUAUGAGGCCAGUUCAGAUGGACUUAUGGCAUUAAGGCAGAAAGAUUUGAAAAAUGGUCCCAAUAGUAUUUCGAGAAAUGAUCUGAAACAUUUCUGAAAUACUUCUGAACUUUAUGUGGACUAUACAGAAAACAAUGACAUGGAUGGGUCUCUGGGUUUUGUUUGUACUAUUUGGGAAGACUUGUACAAGGGACUCAUGGUUUCAUCACUUGUGUGAAAUGCAGCCAUUCUAAA